This 23-nucleotide microRNA is filed under the name Drosophila mojavensis. Its description in RNAcentral is "Dmo-Mir-124_5p* (star (passenger))". Lineage: Eukaryota; Metazoa; Arthropoda; Insecta; Diptera; Drosophilidae. The record is from RNAcentral. RNAcentral also lists the same sequence under 2 other names.
GGUAUCCACUGUAGGCCUCUAUG